AUUAAAAACGCAUUUCACCUAAACAUAGGCUUUCUCAAAGUGUAUACACUUUUGAGAAAGCCUAUGUUUAGGUGAAAUGCGUUAAG
Non-coding RNA from Pelobates cultripes (western spadefoot toad), 86 nucleotides. Lineage: Eukaryota; Metazoa; Chordata; Amphibia; Anura; Pelobatidae. The record is from the annotation of a GenBank genome assembly.